This 487-nucleotide ribosomal RNA is filed under the name uncultured bacterium. Its description in RNAcentral is "bacterial SSU rRNA". It matches the Rfam family "Bacterial small subunit ribosomal RNA", at positions 29 to 514 of the family's 1533-position model. The record is from RNAcentral.
AUUGAACGCUGGCGGCAUGCCUUACACAUGCAAGUCGAACGGUAACAGGCCUUCGGGUGCUGACGAGUGGCGAACGGGUGAGUAAUGCAUCGGAACGUGCCCAAUCGUGGGGGAUAACGUAGCGAAAGUUACGCUAAUACCGCAUAAGCCCUGAGGGGGAAAGCAGGGGAUCGCAAGACCUUGCGCGAAUGGAGCGGCCGAUGUCAGAUUAGCUAGUUGGUGGGGUAAAGGCCUACCAAGGCGACGAUCUGUAGCGGGUCUGAGAGGAUGAUCCGCCACACUGGGACUGAGACACGGCCCAGACUCCUACGGGAGGCAGCAGUGGGGAAUUUUGGACAAUGGGCGCAAGCCUGAUCCAGCCAUGCCGCGUGCGGGACGAAGGCCUUCGGUUGUAAACCGCUUUCAGCCGGAAGAAUACGCCAAGGCUAAUAUCCUUGUGGAUGACGGUACCGGAAGAAGAAGCACCGGCGUAACUACGUGCCAGCAG